AAAGUUAUCAAACACUUCCAUAUCUCAGCUGUCCAUUUCUUGGCUUAACCCAAUCUUCUAAUCAUCAUAGUAGAAAAAUGUUAAAAUAAUUCAAGAGGUUUAGUCAUUUGGAUCAGCUUCUUCUAGCUAGCUGGUUCAUGUGGGGGGUUUGUGCAACAAAGUGCCCAGUUUAUGGGAUGUGCAAAACAUAUUAUAUGAGCUAUUAUGUGUAUAGGGUUUCUAUAUCCAUCCACUACUAGAAAAAAGUCUUUUUACGACACUGAUUCUACGACGGUCGUACGAAGACCGAUGUAGUAAGUUAAGCGGUGGCAUUUUUGUAAACAGUUGUUACUUUUUUAAGGCGGUUUUCUCACAAACGACUUUAAAAAUAUUUUACAACAUCGUUUUUUUAAGACCGUCUUUGAAACCCACUUUCUGUUGCUGACGUGGCACAUUUUAAUUGGGCUAACUGGCAACCCUAAAUCAAUACAAUAUUUUUCUAGCUGUUCACUCUUCCAUUCUCUCGUGACUUUUCAUUUUGCCAUCUCCACGAUUUUCGGCACCUUCUCCACCGCCGCUGCACCCAAAUGCGCCUUCGUCAAUAGCCUUUACCGCUCCAGCUUCAGUUUGUUGAUUGAAGACAACAACUUCCAGCGAAGCAGCUUGAAUACAGCUUAGGAAGGUAAUUGUUUAAGCAAUUCUAGGAAUUUUCACGUGCUAACUUAUGAGGAUCAAGAAGGGGACUGGAUGAUGGUUGGAGAUGUGUCGUGGGAGAUGUUCUUGAACAGUGUGAAGAGGCUGAAGAUCACAAGAGCUGACAGAUGCUAGUUAAUUUAAUAAUAAACUGAUGGAGGUUUCAAGCCUACACUGUCCAAGGUUGAAAUGAACGUAGCAUGGCAACAAGGAAAUCUGAGAAAAUUCUGCCAAGAGAAAGGAAUUCAUGUGAGUGCAUGGUCCCCUUUGGGAGCUAAUGGUGCUUCAUGGGGUUCUCUUGCUGUGAUAGAUAGUCCAGUCCUAAAAGACAUUGCAAUUGCAAUAGGCAAGAGUGUGGCACAGCAUUUAACGCAGAUCCUGAAACCGUUCUAUGAACUAAUCAAGAGUGAAACAACGAUGAUGAGAACUGCUUCUCAGAAAUGGGGCUACAUUCGGAUCAUGGCUGGUACAAUCUUUGGAGGCAUCCUUGGAUUCUAUGUCAUGCACCGCCUUGAAACUAACUACAAGGAAUAAAAUCCAAGAUAGUAAACUAACUCUCAAAGAGCUUGAAACUACGCACAACAACUAUAUGAAAAGACAAGAGGAGUUAGAUAAUGAUAUGAGGAAGUGCAAGGAAGAGUUCAAAGAGUUUGAGAGGAUUGCUUGAUGAGGAGAAGGUCUUAGAAGAAAUCACAGAGAGUUCCAAAGCAAAAUAUGAUGUUGCAAUAUCAACAGCAUGCCAUGGACUUGAUUAUAUUGUGGUGGAAACAACUAAUGUAGCUCAAGCAUGUGUUGAGUUACUUCGUAGAGAGAAUCUUGGUGUCGCUACUUUCAUGAUAUUGGUAUUUUUUUAUUUUUUAUAUUAAUCAACUUGUUUUUGUCUCUAAAUGGCUGUUUAAUAUUUUGAAUGGCAUGAAUUAAAUAUGUUCACUUUUACUUCUGGACCCUUGGAUUUGUAUAACUGUGACUGAGUUCAUGCUCUACGAUAUAUUUGCUAAUUUAAGGACAUGUUGGUAUAAGAGUGUUUUCUGUUUCAA
This is a long non-coding RNA of Glycine soja, 1709 nucleotides long. RefSeq lists it as uncharacterized. The record is from RefSeq and is a predicted model, not a curated record. The transcript is spliced from 9 exons. NCBI's taxonomy places the organism in Eukaryota, Viridiplantae, Streptophyta, Magnoliopsida, Fabales, Fabaceae.